Molecule: ribosomal RNA, 425 nt
Filed under: uncultured bacterium
Lineage: Bacteria
Description: partial 16S ribosomal RNA
Rfam family: Bacterial small subunit ribosomal RNA
Source: RNAcentral
GUUGGGAAUAUUGCACAAUGGGCGAAAGCCUGAUGCAGCGACGCCGCGUGAAGGAAGAAGCCUUUCGGGGUGUAAACUUCUUUUGUCUGGGAGGAUUAUGACAGUACCAGACGAAUAAGUACCGGCUAACUACGUGCCAGAAGCCUCGGUGAUACGUAGGGUACAAGCAUUAUCCGGAAUUAUUGGGCGUAAAGCGUGUCUAGGUGGUUAUAAAAGUUUUUUGUUAAAUCUUUGGGCUCAACCCAGAAAUCGCAGAGAAUACUUUAUGACUAGAGACCAAUAGAGGUGUAUGGAACUCUCGGUGUAGGAGUGAAAUCCGUUGAUAUCGAGAGGAACACCAAAGGCGAAGGCAAUACACUAGAUUGGUUCUGACACUCAAGCACGAAAGCGUGGGGAGCGAAAAGGAUUAGAUACCCUAGUAGUCC